RNAcentral lists this non-coding RNA (82 nucleotides) under uncultured Faecousia sp. RNAcentral's name for it is "Glycine riboswitch". It matches the Rfam family "Glycine riboswitch aptamer", at positions 9 to 86 of the family's 94-position model. From Rfam's summary of the family: This family represents the bacterial glycine riboswitch. Glycine riboswitches usually consist of two metabolite-binding aptamers domains with similar structures in tandem. The record is from RNAcentral. Lineage: Bacteria; Bacillati; Bacillota; Clostridia; Eubacteriales; Oscillospiraceae.
GUGGCUCUGGAGAAUCUCAGAAAUGGGUACCGAAGGUGCAAGGCGGCUUGCCGCUGAAUCUCUCAGGUAAAAGGACAGAGUA